GACGAACGCUGGCGGCGCGCCUAAUACAUGCAAGUCGAACGAGAAGGUGUAGCAAUACGUUUGUAAAGCGGCGAACGGGUGAGGAAUACAUGGGUAACCUACCCUCGAGUGGGGAAUAACUAGCCGAAAGGUUAGCUAAUACCGCGUACGCUCCUUGGACUUCGGUUCAGGGAGGAAAGCGAUACCGUGGGUAUCGCGCUCUUGGAUGGGCUCAUGUCCUAUCAGCUUGUUGGUGAGGUAACGGCUCACCAAGGCUUCGACGGGUAGCUGGUCUGAGAGGACGAUCAGCCACACUGGCACUGCGACACGGGCCAGACUCCUACGGGAGGCAGCAGUAAGGAAUAUUGCGCAAUGGGCGAAAGCCUGACGCAGCGACGCCGCGUGAGGGAUGACGGCCUGGUGUAACUCUUCUGCUCCGACGAGCGAGAGUGACGGUAGGAGCGAGAAGAAGCACCGG
Molecule: ribosomal RNA, 457 nt
Filed under: uncultured bacterium
Lineage: Bacteria
Description: bacterial SSU rRNA
Rfam family: Bacterial small subunit ribosomal RNA
Source: RNAcentral